CAGGCUUAACACAUGCAAGUCGAGGGGCAUCAGGAAGAAAGCUUGCUUUCUUUGCUGGCGACCGGCGCACGGGUGAGUAACACGUAUCCAACCUGCCCUUUACUCGGGGAUAGCCUUUCGAAAGAAAGAUUAAUACCCGAUAGCAUAAUGAUUCCGCAUGGCUUCAUUAUUAAAGGAUUCCGGUAAAGGAUGGGGAUGCGUUCCAUUAGGUUGUUGGUGAGGUAACGGCCCACCAAGCCUUCGAUGGAUAGGGGUUCUGAGAGGAAGGUCCCCCACAUUGGAACUGAGACACGGUCCAAACUCCUACGGGAGGCAGCAGUGAGGAAUAUUGGUCAAUGGGCGCUAGCCUGAACCAGCCAAGUAGCGUGAAGGAUGAAGGCUCUAUGGGUCGUAAACUUCUUUUAUAUAAGAAUAAAGUGCAGUAUGUAUACUGUUUUGUAUGUAUUAUAUGAAUAAGGAUCGGCUAACUCCGUGCCAGCAGCCGCGGUAAUACGGAGGAUCCGAGCGUUAUCCGGAUUUAUUGGGUUUAAAGGGAGCGUAGGUGGACUGGUAAGUCAGUUGUGAAAGUUUGCGGCUCAACCGUAAAAUUGCAGUUGAUACUGUCAGUCUUGAGUACAGUAGAGGUGGGCGGAAUUCGUGGUGUAGCGGUGAAAUGCUUAGAUAUCACGAAGAACUCCGAUUGCGAAGGCAGCUCACUGGACUGCAACUGACACUGAUGCUCGAAAGUGUGGGUAUCAAACAGGAUUAGAUACCCUGGUAGUCCACACAGUAAACGAUGAAUACUCGCUGUUUGCGAUAUACAGUAAGCGGCCAAGCGAAAGCAUUAAGUAUUCCACCUGGGGAGUACGCCGGCAACGGUGAAACUCAAAGGAAUUGACGGGGGCCCGCACAAGCGGAGGAACAUGUGGUUUAAUUCGAUGAUACGCGAGGAACCUUACCCGGGCUUAAAUUGCAGUGGAAUGAUGUGGAAACAUGUCAGUGAGCAAUCACCGCUGUGAAGGUGCUGCAUGGUUGUCGUCAGCUCGUGCCGUGAGGUGUCGGCUUAAGUGCCAUAACGAGCGCAACCCUUAUCUUUAGUUACUAACAGGUUAUGCUGAGGACUCUAGAGAGACUGCCGUCGUAAGAUGUGAGGAAGGUGGGGAUGACGUCAAAUCAGCACGGCCCUUACGUCCGGGGCUACACACGUGUUACAAUGGGGGGUACAGAAGGCAGCUAGCGGGUGACCGUAUGCUAAUCCCAAAAUCCUCUCUCAGUUCGGAUCGAAGUCUGCAACCCGACUUCGUGAAGCUGGAUUCGCUAGUAAUCGCGCAUCAGCCACGGCGCGGUGAAUACGUUCCCGGGCCUUGUACACACCGCCCGUCAAGCCAUGGGAACCGGGGGUACCUGAAGUACGUAACCGCAAGGAUCGUCCUAGGGUAAAACUGGUGACUGG
RNAcentral lists this ribosomal RNA (1432 nucleotides) under uncultured organism. RNAcentral describes it as "16S ribosomal RNA". It matches the Rfam family "Bacterial small subunit ribosomal RNA". The record is from RNAcentral.